UGUCCGGAAUCCCGAAGAGAUUUGGGAGUGCUCGCAAGAGAACCGGAACACAGGUGCUGCAUGGCUGUCGUCAGCUCGUGUCGUGAGAUGUUGGGUUAAGUCCCGCAACGAGCGCAACCCUUGUCAUUAGUUGCCAUCAUUUGGUUGGGCACUCUAAUGAGACUGCCGGUGACAAACCGGAGGAAGGUGGGGAUGACGUCAAGUCCUCAUGGCCCUUAUGGGUAGGGCUUCACACGUCAUACAAUGGUCGGUACAGAGGGUUGCCAACCCGCGAGGGGGAGCUAAUCCCACAAAGCCGAUCGUAGUCCGGAUCGCAGUCUGCAACUCGACUGCGUGAAGUCGGAAUCGCUAGUAAUCGUGGAUCAGCAUGUCACGGUGAAUACGUUCCCGGGUCUU
This 396-nucleotide ribosomal RNA is filed under the name uncultured Rhodocyclaceae bacterium. RNAcentral describes it as "bacterial SSU rRNA". It matches the Rfam family "Bacterial small subunit ribosomal RNA", at positions 987 to 1382 of the family's 1533-position model. Lineage: Bacteria; Pseudomonadati; Pseudomonadota; Betaproteobacteria; Rhodocyclales; Rhodocyclaceae. The record is from RNAcentral.